GGGGCCAUAGCUCAGCUGGGAGAGCACCUGCUUUGCACGCAGGGGGUCAGCGGUUCGAUCCCGCUUGGCUCCA
This is a non-coding RNA of Francisella sp., 73 nucleotides long. NCBI's taxonomy places the organism in Bacteria, Pseudomonadati, Pseudomonadota, Gammaproteobacteria, Thiotrichales, Francisellaceae. The record is from Rfam.